Molecule: ribosomal RNA, 250 nt
Filed under: uncultured bacterium
Lineage: Bacteria
Description: partial 16S ribosomal RNA
Rfam family: Bacterial small subunit ribosomal RNA
Source: RNAcentral
UGGGGAAUAUUGCACAAUGGGCGAAAGCCUGAUGCAGCAAUGCCGCGUGUGUGAAGAAGGCCUGCGGGUUGUAAAGCACUUUCGGUAGGGAAGAUUAUGACGGUACCUACAGAAGAAGCACCGGCUAACUCCGUGCCAGCAGCCGCGGUAAUACGGAGGGUGCAAGCGUUAAUCGGAAUUACUGGGCGUAAAGCGCGCGUAGGCGGCUUUGUAAGUCGGAUGUGAAAGCCCCGGGCUUAACCUGGGAAUU